RNAcentral lists this ribosomal RNA (489 nucleotides) under uncultured bacterium. Its description in RNAcentral is "partial 16S ribosomal RNA". It matches the Rfam family "Bacterial small subunit ribosomal RNA", at positions 28 to 507 of the family's 1533-position model. The record is from RNAcentral.
GACGAACGCUGGCGGCGUGCUUAACACAUGCAAGUCGAACGGAAAGGCCCCCACCUUGGUGGGGGUGCUCGAGUGGCGAACGGGUGAGUAACACGUGGGUGAUCUGCCCUGUACUUCGGGAUAAGCUUGGGAAACUGGGUCUAAUACCGGAUAGGACCAUGGUUUAGUGUCUCAUGGUGGAAAAAUUAUUGUUUUGGUGCAGGAUGAGCUCGCGGCCUAUCAGCUUGUUGGUGGGGUAAUGGCCUACCAAGGCGUCGACGGGUAGCCGGCCUGAGAGGGUGGACGGCCACAUUGGGACUGCGAUACGGCCCAGCCUCCUACGGGAGGCAGCAGUGGGGAAUAUUGCACAAUGGGCGCAAGCCUGAUGCAGCGACGCCGCGUGGGGGAUGACGGCCUUCGGGUUGUAAACUCCUUUCGUUAGGGACGAAGCCACACCUUUUUUGGGUGUGGUGACGGUACCUUUGUUAAGAAGCACCGGCUAACUACGUG